RNAcentral lists this transfer-messenger RNA (362 nucleotides) under Betaproteobacteria bacterium. It matches the Rfam family "transfer-messenger RNA". From Rfam's summary of the family: Bacterial tmRNA, also known as 10Sa RNA or SsrA, is named for its dual tRNA and mRNA-like properties. Its role is to liberate the mRNA from a stalled ribosome. RNAcentral also lists the same sequence under 1 other name. The record is from RNAcentral. Lineage: Bacteria; Pseudomonadati; Pseudomonadota; Betaproteobacteria.
GGGGGCGACCUGGUUUCGACGUGGGUUGCAAAGCAGCGCAGGGCAUACCGAGGGUCGGUACACCUCGUAAAUACAACCGAAAACGCAAUAGUCGCAAACGACGACAGCUACGCUCUAGCCGCUUAAUCCCGGCUGGACUCUGCACCGGUCAGCCUUCGGGCCGGGUGGGCAACCACAGCAGAGCCAUUUAGAAGGCUCGUUCCAUGCAGGGUUACUUUGCACGGGGCUAAACAAUAGGUGACUCGCGUUUCACCAGCCUGCCAGUUGGCGGGUGAGGCGUUAAAUCAAAUAACCAGGCUAAGUAUGUAGAACUGUCUGUAGAGGGCUUGCGGACGCGGGUUCAAUUCCCGCCGCCUCCACCA